CGCGCGAUUGGAGCGGCCGAUGGCAGAUUAGGUAGUUGGUGGGGUAAAGGCUCACCAAGCCGACGAUCUGUAGCUGGUCUGAGAGGACGACCAGCCACACUGGGACUGAGACACGGCCCAGACUCCUACGGGAGGCAGCAGUGGGGAAUUUUGGACAAUGGGCGCAAGCCUGAUCCAGCCAUUCCGCGUGCAGGAUGAAGGCCCUCGGGUUGUAAACUGCUUUUGUACGGAACGAAAAGGCUCUGGUUAAUACCUGGGGCUCAUGACGGUACCGUAAGAAUAAGCACCGGCUAACUACGUGCCAGCAGCCGCGGUAAUACGUAGGGUGCAAGCGUUAAUCGGAAUUACUGGGCGUAAAGCGUGCGCAGGCGGUGAUGUAAGACAGAGGUGAAAUCCCCGGGCUCAACCUGGGAACUGCCUUUGUGACUGCAUCGCUGGAGUACGGCAGAGGGGGAUGGAAUUCCGCGUGUAGCAGUGAAAUGCGUAGAUAUGCGGAGGAACACCGAUGGCGAAGGCAAUCCCCUGGGCCUGUACUGACGCUCAUGCACGAAAGCGUGGGGAGCAAACAGGAUUAGAU
This 577-nucleotide ribosomal RNA is filed under the name uncultured bacterium. RNAcentral's name for it is "bacterial SSU rRNA". It matches the Rfam family "Bacterial small subunit ribosomal RNA", at positions 214 to 783 of the family's 1533-position model. The record is from RNAcentral.